Molecule: ribosomal RNA, 57 nt
Filed under: Clostridium grantii DSM 8605
Lineage: Bacteria; Bacillati; Bacillota; Clostridia; Eubacteriales; Clostridiaceae
Source: RNAcentral
CAACACGCUGAUGGUACUGCAUGGGUGACUGUGUGGGAGAGUAAGUCGUUGCCAGGU